GGCAUCUAAGCCAAACCCCUGGAAGUGAAAUGGACAUUAAUGACUUAUUUCAGGGUUUUAGGACUCAUUCCUGCAGCACUCUGUAUGUCAGUGUUUAACAAAGCAUGGUUGGAUUCCUUUUCUUGCUUCCGUCUGCAGUGGGCUGAGGGACCACUGAAUGACUUGUAUUCUAUUGUUAGUUUCACAUAAGAAUGCUUUCUGGCAACUAACCAUGAGUGUGCACUGUCCCAGGACCAGGAAAUAUGUAAAAAUAGUCCUUCCUUGGAGCUUAAUGUGGUUGAAAGAGUUUGAGCAUGGGACAAGAGUCUAAGUUAGGAUCUUUUCAUAAGUGGAGAACAAAAACAAACUAUGAAGGACACAAAUAUCAUAUGUGAAUGCACAUAAGCAUUUAUGGUGUUGUGCAAUAACUUUUGUAUACUUGUGUAAUCCUUGUUAAAUGUUAAAGCUCCUGCUCUUUGUGGCAUUAUUUAAGGGGGAAUGUAUCCACAGAGUGACACAUUUCACUUUGACUCACACAUUUCUUGUGUUCUCUCUCUUUUUUAAAUUUGAGCCAAUCACACAUCUGCUUUCCUAACUGCUUAUUCACAGUGAGCUGGGGCCUAUCCCAGCUGACACAGGGUGACAGGUGGGGUACACACUGGUCAGGUCACCACGCGCACAUUUAGUUUACUUAUGUAUUCAUACUACUUAAUUUCUUUGCUUUCUGACUAACUUUUGUCUUUUUAUUUCUUACCUGCCAUCAUCCCUGGGAGUUGCUGGACAAAAGAUGGUAGCCAGGGUUUGAAACCAUUAAAUACAAAGGAAGAUAAUUGGACCACACCACCACUUCCUGCUGAAGGGGGGAAUGUGUGUUUUCUUUACUUUAAAAACAAAGUAUUUGUAUUUAAUUAAAUAUUUGAGUUUAGGGUUUAAUGGGGUUUUUGAUUUUCUUCUUUAGUGUUUAGUUUAUUAACAAACCAGAUUGUACUGCAUCGUUUGUGAUUUAUGAUUGUGUUUUGUUUGUUACCCCUCAUGUGUCACAAUGGUCUGAUCAGCCAUUAUAUAUAC
Astatotilapia calliptera (eastern happy) is the source of this 1047-nucleotide long non-coding RNA. Lineage: Eukaryota; Metazoa; Chordata; Actinopteri; Cichliformes; Cichlidae. The record is from Ensembl.